Molecule: non-coding RNA, 145 nt
Organism: Gossypium raimondii (Peruvian cotton)
Lineage: Eukaryota; Viridiplantae; Streptophyta; Magnoliopsida; Malvales; Malvaceae
Source: Rfam
UUUUAAUAUUUUCAUUUCUUUGUACUGUUAAAAGCUAUCACGGUUAACAAAAUAAUCAGGCAAUAACAUGUGACAUGUUACGUGUAUCUAAUGCUAACAUACAUGGGCCAAUUUUUAAUAGUAAAAAUAGAUUAAAUUUUUAAUA